GGCGGCAGGCUUAACACAUGCAAGUCGAGUGGUAGCAGAUCUAGCUUGCUAGAUGCUGACGAGCGGCGGACGGGUGAGUAACGCGUAGGAACCUGCCCAGUAGUGGGGGAUAGCCCGGGGAAACUCGGAUUAAUACCGCAUACGCUCUACGGAGGAAAGAGGGGGCUUCGGGCUCUCGCUAUUGGAUGGGCCUGCGUGAGAUUAGCUAGUUGGUGAGGUAAUGGCUCACCAAGGCGACGAUCUCUAGCUGGUCUGAGAGGAUGAUCAGCCACACUGGGUCUGAGACACGGCCCAGACUCCUACGGGAGGCAGCAGUGGGGAAUAUUGCACAAUGGGCGCAAGCCUGAUGCAGCCAUGCCGCGUGUGUGAAGAAGGCUUUCGGGUUGUAAAGCACUUUCAGUGGGGAGGAAGGCCUCGUAGUUAAUAGCUGCGAGGAUUGACGUUACCCACAGAAGAAGCACCGGCUAACUCCGUG
Molecule: ribosomal RNA, 475 nt
Filed under: uncultured bacterium
Lineage: Bacteria
Description: bacterial SSU rRNA
Rfam family: Bacterial small subunit ribosomal RNA
Source: RNAcentral